Molecule: non-coding RNA, 65 nt
Organism: Dipodomys ordii (Ord's kangaroo rat)
Lineage: Eukaryota; Metazoa; Chordata; Mammalia; Rodentia; Heteromyidae
Source: Rfam
GGUGGCUCAGUGGUACAGCGCUUGCUUUGUAUGCACGAGGCCCUGGGUUCGAUUCCUCAGCACCA